Molecule: unclassified non-coding RNA, 194 nt
Filed under: soil metagenome
Description: partial contains 5.8S ribosomal RNA, internal transcribed spacer 2, and large subunit ribosomal RNA
Source: RNAcentral
AACGCACGAGACCUGCGGACCUGCGGAGGGAUCAUUACCGAGUUAUCCAACUCCCAACCCCUGUGAAUCAUACCUUUAAUUGUUGCUUCGGCGGGACUUCGCGCCCGCCGGGGACCCAAACCUUCUGAAUUUUUUAAUAAGUAUCUUCUGAGUGGUUAAAAAAAAUGAAUCAAAACUUUCAACAACGGAUCUCU